UUGAUUAUUAGAAGCUUACUCAGAGAUUCAAUAUAAACAGAGUUUAGUAUGUCCACCGGCGGGCUACAGGGUAGUUCGCUACAGGUUAGCUACAGGGUAGCUUGGCCCGAAGCUCGCCACCUCACAGCUUGCGCCGAGGCAACAAAGAGAUAGGUUCACAAUGGUUUGGAGUUAGAUAACUCAGUAAUGAUCCCUCCGCUGGUUCACCAACGGAGA
Molecule: unclassified non-coding RNA, 216 nt
Filed under: uncultured fungus
Lineage: Eukaryota; Fungi
Description: sequence contains ITS1
Source: RNAcentral